AUCCUGGAUCUUUGCAGAAUGCACUCACAACAGCUUCAGAGCUCACUACAGGACAUCAGAAAUGGGUCCUGCAGGACACAUGAACCAAGCAUUAAAAUGGAAUGUUCCUCAGAGACUUACAUAAUACAACAACCUCAGAGACAAAGGAUACAGCCCUUCUUACACUUCAAUAUCGUGGACUUUCCUGUCUAGGAUUAAACACCUCCAGUCCCUGGGAGUGCAGAUGCUCACCAAGCACAGCUGGAACCAGACCUUGGCAGAAAGAAGCAUUUAAUGUAAAGCCUAAAAUUUACAGUUAAUACUGUGUGACUGAUCUUGACCAACUUUGUGGGUUCAGUGAUAAAACAAAGGUUUUCUUUUCACAUUGUUGUGGCCUCUUUCCUUAGUUGUUUUAGGAGGUCUCCCACAGUGCCAGUUAGAACACUUUUGAGCACCUGAGGGAGUGUCUGGAAAUCUGUGUCUCCUUUUUAAUUUCACACUCAGUCAAGUUCAGCUGCAGUUAAUGGAGGGCUCUCUCAUGGAAACAUCAAACAAUG
This is a non-coding RNA of Lonchura striata (white-rumped munia), 536 nucleotides long. NCBI's taxonomy places the organism in Eukaryota, Metazoa, Chordata, Aves, Passeriformes, Estrildidae. The record is from RefSeq and is a predicted model, not a curated record.